UCCUACUUGGUGAUGGUGGAUUAUUUUUUUGAUAUGUUGUUGAAUUCUACUGGCUCGAAUUUUGUUGAGGAUUUUUGCAUCUAUGUUCAUGAGGGAUAUAGGUCUGUAAUUUUCUUUUUUUGUGUUGUCUUUAGCUGGUUUUGGUAUCAGGGUUAUUCUGGCUUCAUAGAAGGAGUUAGGUAGUAUUCCGUCCUUUUCUAUGCUUUGAAAUACCUUCAGUAGUAGUGGUAAGUCUUCCCUGAAAGUUUGGUAGAACUUUGCAGUGAAGCCAUCAGGGCCAGGGCUUUUUUUUGUUGGGAGUGUUUUGAUUACCUUUUCAAUCUCUUUUAUUGUUAUGGGUGUAUUUAGUUGUUCUACUUCAGUUUGUGUUAGUUUAGGUAGGUAGUGUGUUUCUAGGAAUUCAUCCAUUUUUUCUAGGUUUUCAAAUUUGUUGGAAUACAAUUUUUUGUAGUAAUCUGAUAUGAUUGUUUUAAUUUCAGUUGGAUCUGUUGUGAUAUGGCCCAUCCCAUUUCUUAUUUGGAUUAUUGGUUUGUUUUCCUGUAUUUCUUUAGUCAGUCUGGCUAAUGGUUUAUCAAUUUUGUUCAUUUUUUCAAAGAAGCAGUUUUUGGCCUUGUUAACUCUUUCAAUUGUUUUUCUAUUCUCUAAUUCAUUUAAUUUUGCUGUAGUUUUUAUUUUUUGCUUUCUUUUGGUGCCUGACAGUUCCUUUUGUUGCUCUCUUUCUCUUUGUUCAAGUUGUAGGGACAGUUCUUUCAUUUUGGCUCUUCUUUAAUAUGUGUGCCUUUAUUGAUAUAAAUUGACCUCUGAGCACUGCUUUCACCAUGUCCCAAAGGUUUUCAUAGGAAGUGUUUUCAGUCUUGUUGAAUUCUGUGAAUUUCUUUAUUCCCUCCUUAAGGUCUUCCAUAACCCAGUCUUUUUUGAGCAGGGCAUUGUGCAGUUUCCAAGCAUUUGAUUUCUUUUCCCUGGUUUUUCUGUUAUUGAUUUUUGCUUUUAUGGUCUUUUGUUCAGAGAAGAUGUUUUAUAAUAUUUCAAUGUUUUGGGUUCUGCAAAGGCUUGUUUUAUGACCUAAUAUGUGAUCUAUUCUAGAGAAUGUUUCAUGUGCACUAGAAAAGAAAUUAUAGUUUGCAGCUGUUGGGUGGAGUGUUCUGUAUAAGUCUAUGAAGUGAAGUUGUUUAAUUGUAGCACUUAGAUCUUCCGUGUCUCUAUUGAGCUUCUUACUGCAUUUCCUAUCCUUCACCGAGAGUGUUGUGUUGAAGUCUCCUGCUAUAAUUGUGGAGGUGUCUAUCUCACUUUUUAAUUCUGUUAACAUUUGUUUUAUGAAUGUUGCGGCCCUAUCAUUGGGUGCAUAAAUAUUUAAUACGGUUAUAUGUACCUGGUAAAUUGUCCCUUUAAUCUUUAUGUAGUGUCCUUCUUUAUCCUUUGUGGUGGAUUUAAUUUUAAAGUCUAUUUUGUUGGAAAUUAAUAUUGCCUCUCCUGCUCUUUUUUGAUUGUUGUUUGCUUGAUAUAUUUUUAUCCAUCCUUUCAGUUUUGGUUUAUUUGUGUCUCUUAACUCUAAAGCGUGUCUCUUUUAGGAAGCAUACAGACUGAUCGUGUUUUUUUAUCCAGUCUGCAACUUUCUGUCUCUUUAUUGGUGAAUUUAGUCCAUUUACAUUAAGUGUAAUUAUAGAUAAGUAUGAGUUUAGUGCUGUCAUUUUGAUGCCUGUUUUUGACAAUUUCAUUUUCCAUUUACCUUUUUGUGCUGAGUUUUUCUUUGUAGAAUGUGUGUUCUUCCUUUUUAUAGUAGUUGAAUUUAUUUUGGUGAGUCGUUAUGUUUAUCUUGGUUUUUAUUUUGAAGUAUGGAAUUGUUAGACCUUGUUGUGGUUACCUUAAUAUUUACCCUGGUUUGAGUAAGUAAAAACCUAAGUUGUUUCGCCCUGUAUCACCUUGGUUUCCUCUCCAUAUGUAAUUUCUAAGCCUCCUGUAUUUAGUCCCUCUUUUUUCACUAUCGUAAUCUUUUACAUAAUCACAUCAAUGAUUCCCUGUUUUGAGUAAUUUUUUUAAUUAAUCUUAUUUUGUUUUUGUGAUUUCCGUAUCUGGGUUGAUAUCAGGAUGUUUUGUUCUGUGACCUUGUGUUGUGUUGGUAUCUGAUAUUAUUGAUUUUCUGACCAAAGAAUUUCCUUCAGUAAUUCUUGCAGUUUUGGUUUGGUUUUUGCAAAUUCUCUAAGCUUGUGUUUAUCUGUAAAUAUCUUAAUUUCACCUUCAUGUUUUAGAAUUUUGCUGGAUAUAUGAUUGUUCGCUGACAGUUUUUCCUCUUUCAGUGCUCUAUAUAUGUUAUCCCAUUGUCUUCUUGCCUGCAUGGUUUCUGCCGAGUAGUGCAAACUUAUUGAUUCUCCUUUGUAGGUAACUUUUCGUUUAUCCUUGGGUGCUUUUGAAAUUUCUCUUUAUCUUUGGUUUUGGCAGGUUUGAUGAUAUGUCUUGGUGAUUUUCUUUUGGGAUCUAUCUUGUAUGAGGUUCGAUGAGCAUCUUGGGUAGAUAUCUUUUCAUCUUUCACAAUGCCAGGGAAUUUUUCUGCCAUCAGAUCUUCCACUGUUCUCUCUGUAUUUUCUGUUAUCCCUCCCUGUUCUGGAACUCCAAUCACACGCAAAUUACUCUUGAUAGAGUCCCCCAUGAUCCUUAGGGUUUCUUCAUAGUUUUAAAUUCUAUUUGAUUUUUCUUCAACUAUAUUUGUGUCAAUUGUCUUAUCCUCCAGCUCCCCCACUCUGCAUUCCAGUUCCUCGAUUCUGCUCCUGUGACUUCCUAUUGAGUUGUCUGAUUCUGUGACUUUAUUGUUAAUCUUUUGGAUUUCUGAAUGCUGUCUCUCUAUGGAUUCUUACAGCUUAUUAAUUUUUUCACUAUGUUGUUGAAUAAUCUUUUGGAUAUCUUUAACUGCUUUAUCCGUGUAUUCCUUGGUGUUUUCUGUAGAUUGCCUUAUUUCAUUUGUGAGGUCAUUCCUGAUGUCUUGAAGAAUUCUGUAUAUAAUUUUUUUAUAUUCUACAUUUGGCAAUUCUAGGAAUGUAUCUACAUCUGGGAAUGAUUUUGAUUCUUUGAUUUGGGGGUUUGUAGAAGCAAUCAUGGUCUGCUUCUUCAUGUGAUUUGAUGUCGACUGCUGUCUCUGAGCCAUCUAUAAGAUAUUGUAAUAUUUUCUUUUAUAUUUGCUCACUGAGUCUUAUCUUCUUAUUUUGUUUUGUUACAAGACACCCAGAUGGGCUACUAGAUUGUGGUAUCGUGAUUGAUUUAGCUUUUGAAUCACUUACGUCCUAUUACCAGCUUGCCUGAGCUGUUACCAGGUAUAUAAGUGUAUGAGUCCAUUCACUAUUCUUGAAUAGAAUCAGCUCAGGUGUCCUGAUAGCUGGUCACCUAGUGUGUGGUGUAGGCUCUCACGUAUUAUCUUAGAGGAGUAGUGGUGAUGGUUGUAUGCACCAGUUUCUAUUAGUGGCAUGGGGUCACAUUUCGAGGAGGGCAGGAUGCUGACAGCCUUCCUUCAAGUGACAGUGAGGUAGGUGUGGCUCUAUUCUCUAGAGCACUCUGGUGCGUGGGCUUUGCAGCUGUAUCUUAGGCACCCAAUGCUUGGGUAGGCGUCACUAUUCUCAGACCCCUCUAGCAGGUGGCUAGGUGAUGUGGGUGGAGUCUCAGCCCUCAGUUCACUGGUGUGGAUCAGCGAGGGCUCUGUUUAAUAGGUAGAGAGGUAUCUGACCUCCAAAACUUGCCUUUCCACUGCUGAGCUAAAACAAUUAUGGUCAGAUCUCUAUCAGAAUUGCCUUUACAUUGUAAUAGCCACCUAGUUACCUGUAGGGUGAAAGCCAAAGACUAUGGGUCUGUUAAUGCCUGGAUGGAGCUGAUUCUGUACUGUUAUUUCAGUUUAGGGAAGUCAGGGAAGGAUUUUUUCUUUGAUUGUUAAAUGCUGCUUUUCUCAGGCCAGGAGAAUGGGUUAGAAAAGAAAGAAGAAAAAAAAUCCAGCAGUGCACUUCACUCUCUGGCACAGAGAAUUCCAAUGUUAAUGAAGCUGGCUGGGGCAAUGAGGGGUGGAAUCAGAUAUAUAGAAGAGAGUAGCCUGGCAAAAUAUAGAAAGUUACUUAUGUUGUUUGGUGAGGACUGUUUUUUCUGAGAUUCCAGAGCAUUGUGUCGCUCGUGUGUGGUGGCUGGAUCCCUGCUGAGACUGUCCCAGAGGGUUAGGGCUGCGUCCAUGCUCACACCGUCUCAGGAAGCCACAAUCGGCUCCCCCACACUUAGUCCAAAGCCCAGCACCAGGGUUUCCUUUCUGGGACGCUGCACUCCAGGCUCCAGAACCAGUCGCUGCUUCCCUAUAGUUUUUCGUUUCCCUGUCAGCCACGUCUGUGUGGAGCCUGUGUGUGCUGCCUGGGUCCCCUCUGAGGUUGGUCCUGAGGGUUGGGCCUAUAUCUGUUCUUCCGUGUCUCAGUAAGCCACAAUCAGCCCCACCACUCUGACACCAGGAAACCACGAGGGCUCAAGGCUGUGGCGUGGGACACUGGCUCUGGAAGUGGUCCCUGCUGCAGCGUGGCUUUUCGCUCCCCCGUCACUCAGGUCAACUCCUUAGUUCUGUGUUUGAUGGUCAGGGUUUGUAGAUUGUCCUUUAUGUAAUCAGUUCACUUGUUUUUUCGAGUCUUUGUUUCAAGAGGGAUAAGCGGAAUCUUCUACCUAGUGAGCCAUCUUGGUCCUGCCCCCGUGUCUGCCUCUUUAUGUGAUUUGAUAUUGACUGUUGUCUCUGAGCCAUCUGUAAGUUAUUGUAUUAGUUUAUUUUAUGCUUGCUUUUUGUAUCCUAGCUUCUUGCUUUGUUUAGUUUUGCUAUACCCAAAUAAGCUGCUUGAGUGCACUAGGUUGAUUAUUUUCACCUUUGAAGCUCUAAUGUACUAUCACCAGAUGGCUAGCACUGUUACCAGGCAUAUGAGCCUAGGAGUUCAUUUAUUUUUCUUGUAUGGAUUCAACUCAGGUGCCCAGGUAGUUGGUCAUAAAGUGUGUGGUACGGGCUCUGUCCUACAGUCUUAAAGGGGCAGGGGUCAUUGGUGUAGGCAGAAGUAUCUGGCUGCAGUAGGGGGUAAGGCUCUGAUCAAGGCAGGGGUCUGACAGCUGUGCUCUGAGUGUCUGUGAGGAAAGUGCAUCCCUGUUCUGUAGAGCACAUGGGUGGGUUCUGCAGAAGGGCAGUGGGUACCCAAUGCUUUUGGUUGUAAGUUCUGGGCGGUACUACUUAUCCUUGGAGCCCUAUCACAGGUGGCUAGGUAUUGUGGGUGGAGCCAGCAGUCCUUAUGCCCCUGAUGUGGGUAGGUGAAGACCCUGUUUAAUAGGCAAAGCAGUGUCAAACAUCAAAUACCCAUCUUUCCACCGUUCAGGUGAAACAGUUGCAGUCUGGCAACAAGGGCCUAUUCUCCUGAAAUGGGCCCACACAGGUCCAUGCUGGGGUGAAAGGUAUUCAAAGCCCAUGGACUGUUUGUGCCUGAACAAGAGCUGCUUCUGUCCUGAGCUCCCCAGCUUAAUUGAGCUGGCAGAUUAUCUUUCCCCCAGUUGUGAACUUAUACCUUCUUCAAGGAUGGAAAAAUGGCUCAGAGUGGUACCAGGGCCUAUCUCAGGCCCAGGGAAGUUGACAGCCACUGAAGCCGGCUUGGGGGCUGGGGGCGUGGUAAAAUAAACACAAGUAAUUAGCUUUUGCUGAGAGUGCCGUUCUUCUCUUGUUCUGGAGGUGUGAGUAGUCUGUGCAACUUGCUGUCCUUCCCUGAGCUAAACGCCUGUGGAACGCCACUGCCAGCCCCACUGCAGUCGCUCCAGGGAACGGUGCCUGAGGGUUCCUGGCUAUUCAGGUCCAGUAACUCCUCUCCACUUCUGAAUAGUCUCUCCCUCCCCCUGCCGCUGAGUCCAUUUUCUAACUUUACCUUUGAUGUUCAGGGCUCCUAGCUUCUCAUAAAUAUAAUCGCUUCACUUGUUUUUUCUGGUCUUUUUUGUAAGAGGGAUCACUGGUGGCGUCUCAAUACUCAAAACUUCAUCAUUUCUUCCUUUCACUUUAGCUACUCGACAUUCAAGAGCAACGUUCAGAGUCUCUUCCGACAUCCGUUUUGGUCUUUUCUUUCUUUCCUGUCUUUUAAAGGAUCUCUUGCUUUCUUCAUGUGUGAUGUCCUUGAUGUCAUUCCACAACUCGUCUGGUCUUCAGUCGUUAGUGUUCAACACGUAAAAUGUGUUCUUGAGGUGGUCUCUAAAUACAGGUGAGAUAUACUCAAGGUCAUAUUUUGGCCCCUUUUGACUUAUUCUAAUUUUCUUCAGUUUCAACUUGAACUCCCAUAUGAGCAAUUGACAGUCUGUUUCACAAUUGAUCCCUGGCCUUGUUCUGACUGAUGAUAUGAGUUUUCCCAUCUUCUCUUUCCACAGAUGUAGUCAGUUUGAUUCCUGUGUAUUCCAUCUGGUAAAGUCCACGUGUAUAGCUGCCGUUUAUGUUGGUGAAAAAAAAUAUUUGCAGUGGAUGAGUCACUGGUCUUGCAGAAUUCUUUCAUGAGAUUUCUGGUGUCAUUUAUUUCAUCGAUGCUGUAUUUUCCAACUACUUUUCCUUCUUUGUUUCCAACUUUAACAUUCUAAUGACCAGUAAUUAUCAAUGCAUCUUGAUUGCAUGUUUGAUCAAUUUCAGGCUGCAGAAGUUGUUUAAAAUCUUCAAUUUCUUUAUCUUUGGCAUUAGUGGUUGGUGCAUAAAUUUGAAUAGUCGUAUAAACUAGUCUUCCUUGUAAGUGUAUGGAUUUUAGCCUAUUAGUGACAACAUUGUACUUCAGGCUAGAUCUUGAAAUGUUCUCUUUGAUGAUAUGUAACGUCAUUCUUUUGACUCUAGUGGAAUAUCCAUGUUUGUAAGACUGCUCACAGACUGUUUCACCAGAGAGUUUUCUGGUACUGCAACAUCUACCACUAAUCUCUGUGAUCCCUGUGAAUUGGCAAAAUAAGAAUAGUGCUAUAGAUUUCUUCCAAAUACAGAAAACAUAAGUAUGAAAAUGUUCUUGCUAUUGAUUAUGUUCUUUACCAAUCUGUUUGUGUGGGAUUUUUGGUACUUCACUUGAAAAAUGAGUCCAAGGUACUGUGAUGUGAUUGUUUACUUUGUGUGGCCUUUCUAGCCAUGGUCUUAUAACAUCCACCCUGGUGCUUGGGCAGGACUGUGUGAUAGGGUAAUUGUGGCUCACCAAGGGGAUUGUUUAUUUUCCCUUCAAAGAGAACCAGUUCCAGAGCAAAGAGGAGGAUUCAACUCCCAUCAAGGAAGAACAGCCAAGAGCCGAGCGUAUAUUAUGGACCUGAGAUCCCUGCACUGAGAAGCUCCUAGAAGCAAGAGACUGAGAUAGAGAGAGGAAGCUGUAACCCUGAAGAUGCUUAAAUACAGACCAGAAGAGGAGUUUGGGGCUUGACACCUGACAUCUUAACACCAGUUCCUGUUUCUUGAGGAAGGAAGAGGUAAAAUAAAUCAGCGUUUACUGUUUCCUUCUCCAUCCCCGGAAGUCCUGAUGAAGACCCUCUCAGAGAACCAGUUCCAGAGCAAAGAGGAGGAUUCAACUCCCAUCAAGGAAGAACAGCCAAGAGCCGAGCGUAUAUUAUGGACCUGAGAUCCCUGCACUGAGAAGCUCCUAGAAGCAGGAGACUGAGAUAGAGAGAGGAAGCUGUAACCCUGAAGAUGCUUAAAUACAGACCAGAAGAGGAGUUUGGGGCUUGACACCUGACAUCUUAACACCAGUUCCUGUUUCUUGAGGAAGGAAGAGGUAAAAUAAAUCAGCGUUUACUGUUUCCUUCUCCAUCCCCGGAAGUCCUGAUGAAGACCCUCUCAGGAGGGAAGAGGUAAAAAAGAAGGCAGUGUCUACUAUGUCCUUUGCCAUGUGUGUCAGGAAAUCCUCAUGAAGAGCCUCUCAGCUUCAACUUGAACGUGAAUAUGAGCAACUGAUCAUCUGUUCUGCAGUCAGCCCCUGGCCUGCUUCUGACUCAUGAUAUUGACCUUCUCCAUCAUCACCUUCCACAAAUUUGAUUCCUGUCUAUUCUGCCUGGAAUGGUUCAUGAGUAUAGUCACCGUUUAUGUUCCUGAUGAAAGCUUAAAUACAGACCAGAAGAGGAGUUUGGGGCUUGACACCUGACAUCUUAACACCAGUUCCUGUUUCUUGAGGAAGGAAGAGGUAAAAUAAAUCAGCGUUUACUGUUUCCUUCUCCAUCCCCGGAAGUCCUGAUGAAGACCCUCUCAGAGAUGCAGCACACACAGAAUCCCAGCUGGAUUACAGACUUGAACCUGAAGACCUUAUGCAGAAUGACUAUUUAUGAACCACUAAGCUUAGUAUUAAAGCAGGUACUUACUCCUCAGAGAAGGCCCUGGGGGAGGUUGAUACGUGCAUACCCCAGUGCUCCUGCUGUUCUAGAAGUGCCUGAAAUGCCUCUCUGGGAAAGGCCUUCAGAUUAGGCUCAUGGCCCAGGUGGGAAUUCAGGCCUAUUUUUCUGUUAGAACAUCUCAUUUCGCUCUGAAAAUGUUAUUAUCCAGUUUAUUCACCAGACAUGAGUACAGACAUCUCAUAUUUUCCAAAUUAAUCCCAUUCUCUAAUACUAAUUUGCCACCAAGAGUAUAUUCCAAAGUGUUUCCAAUAGGCUAGAAAGUCUUUCCAAAGAGGGGAGUCCUGCGCCAUGUUGUGCAGUGACAGCAGGGUUGGCAUAAUAUGUUUACCCAGAUACCUACCACUUUUUAAAAAUUUUCUAUUGUGUUUUAUUUGAAACUUUACAGAGCAAAUUACUUUCUUGUUCAGCCAUUUAUGCACAAUUGUUUUGUGACAUUGGUGGCAAUAUUCAUGAUGUGUCAGUAUUCUCUUCUAUGCUCUAGUUCCCCGUUUCCAUCCGCCAUGAUUCCUGUUCCAUCCUGCCCUCUUUUCUGUGCUUUUGGGCAGGUUUUGCACUUUUGGUCUCAUACACACGAUUGAACUAAGAAACACUUUCUUCACGUGUGUUAUUGUUUGUUUUAUAGACCUGUCUAAUCUUUGGCUGAAGGGUGAACUUCAGAAGGUACUUUCGACUUUGUUGCUUUCCAUAAUUCCUGAAAUUCCAAGUCUACCACCUGAAGAACUUCCUUUAGUGUUUCAUUUAGAACAAGUCUGGUGGCGAUGAAUUCUCUUAAGCGUCCUUCACCUGAGAAUGUCAAUAUUUUUCCUUUACUCAUGAAGGAAAUAACAGCCUAUAGAAUACUGGGUUAAUGUUUCUUUUCUUUCGGUGUUGAAAAAAUGUUGUUUUCACAGCCUUUUGGCCUCCAUGGCUUCUGAUGAUGAAUACGGAGUCAUUCCAAUUGUUUUUCCUGUGUGAAAUGAGUUGUUUUCUCUCUAGCUUCUUUGAAGAUACUUUCUUGGUCCUUGUUAUUCCACAAUUGACCGUGAGGCAUUUGGGCGUAAAAUUAUGUGAGUUUAACUUGUUGGAGUUUGCAUAGCUUCUUGAAUCUGUAAGUUUAUGUCUUUCAACAAAUUGGGAAAGUGUUGAGCCAGUAUUUCUUCAGAUACUUUUUUCUACACCACAUAUUUUCUCUACACCUUAUGGAAUUCCAAUAAAUAAAUGUUAGAUAUUUUUGGAUUAUUUUGAGGCUCUGUUCAUUUUUUUUUCAGAUUGGAUAUUUUCAGUUGAACUGUUUUCAUCUCAUUGAUCCUUUUGUCUGUCAACAGCAUUCCGCUGUAGAGCUGAUCAAGUGAAUUAUUUAUCUCUAUUUUUCUAUUUUUCCUGUCUAAAAUUUUCAUUUGUGAAUGGUUUCUAUGUAUUUUUCUGUUUUUCUAAGGUGUGCCUGUUACUUCUUUGAGCAUGGUUAAAGUAGCUUUUUAAAGUUUUUGUCUAUGAUUCCAAGACUUACAGAAAAUGUUGAUGUUGUUUGUUUUAGGAAUCACUUGACCCAGUUAUGUUCAGGUUGCAGGUUCUUUCCCACCUUCUGUAUGCUGUGGCUCAGAUGUCGGUUCAGAUUUUGAAGACUUUGCGGUGAUAUUUGGAUGUAAUCUAUGGGAGUGUCACCCAGUCUGGGACCUUGUUGGUGUUCUAACCCAUAAUGCAGUUCUCAAAGGAUUGAUCUACUUCUUAGGGUCAGAGCAAAGCAUAUGCAACUAUGGGGGGGGGUAUGAAAAACAACUUUAUGGUAUCCCUCUCUUGAGCCGCCUCUUCUCUGUCUCUCUGAGGCUCUCUGAUGUCUGAGCAGCUACCUUCCUGGUCCACUGGCAAGAAUGUAGGGGCUUUAAUCUCUUCAUUCUGCUGUGCAAUUAAGUGACUGGGUCUGCCUAUGAGGCCAAAUAACGGUAAGAUGGAGAAAAUGUAACAGAGAUUCCUCUAUAUUAUUUGGUCCUUAUAUACUUAGGUCAGAGAGAAGGCACACUGUUUCUGGUGAUACUUCGAAACAGGUAUGGAGAAAAAGGCAUUAACAGGUCGAUAGCUGCAUACUAGGUGUUACGGAUUAAAUUCUGUCUUCCCAAAAUGUAUAUAUCAGCUUGACUAGGCUAUGCUUCCCAGUAUUGUGCGAUUAUCCACCAUUUUGUCAGCUGAUGUGAUUUUCCAAUGUAUUGUAAAUCCUACCUCUAUGAUGUUAAUGAUCGAGGAUUUGAAGCAGUUAUGUUAAGGAGGCAGGGCUCAAUCUACAAGAUUAAGUUGUGUUUUAAGUCCAUCUCUUUUGAGAUAUAAAAGAGAAAAGAGCAGAGAGACAGGGGGACCUCAGUACCACCAAGAAAGAAGUGUCAGGAGCAGUGCAUCCUUUGGACCUAGGAUCCCUGUGCUGAGAACCUUCUUGUCCAGGGGAAGAUUGGUGACAAAGACCUUCCCCUAGGAGUGACGGAGAAAAAAAGCCUUCCCCUGGAAUUGGCACCCUGAAUUUGGACUUACAGAGCCUCCUGGACUGUGAGGGAAUAAUUUUCUUUGUUAAAGUCAUCCGUUUGUGGUAUUUCUGUUACAGGAGCGUUAGAUGUCUAAGACACUAGGUACCAGGAGAUGUACAUUUCCCAGUUCUUUCACUCCCAGGGACACUAUGACUAAGUAGCCAAUGCCAUAAAUCCAUGCGAGCAGACUAUUCUGAUUACUGCUUUGACUCUACUGUCUGUUAUGGUAACCACACCCAUCUUGUCUUUGUUGAUUGAGUGCCACCACUUGGCUGCUACCACCAUGGGCUCCAGUCAACUGCAUUGUAGUUAGGUGUCUUAAUUCAGUUAGGGCAGUUCUCACUGUGGACUCUUACUUACAUAAAAUAGCAACCACAGAAGUCUUCAGUAAUGCUGGGGCUUGCUUCCCAAAUUUGUACCUCACCGCUAUGGUAAAAAGAGAGCCCCCUGGGCACUCCGUGUGUGGGUCUGUGGGUCCAGCCUAAUAAAUCCAUUCUAACAUUCCAAUUUCCCUCAGCCUUUGGUUACCUUCUCCUACAUUAUACAAUGGCAGAUCUGCCAUUUCCACUUGAUUUAUUGUAGGCCACCACUUAUUCCAUGCUUCAGUAAACCAACCAAAUAAACUAUGAGAUCCUUUUCUAACCUCUCAAGCUGAAACACUGAAUGAAGAAUCUAUGCUUCCUGGGCCUAUAUCAAUAAACUCAGACUAAUCCACCUUUAUGUUGCUUGCACCAUUAUCCCACACCUGGAAUAGCCAUUCCCACACAUAUUCACCAGGUUUCUGUAUGUAUAUAUUAGAAAAAUCAAGCAGUUCUUUAGGAGUUUAGCAUACCUUCUCCUGGGUCACACUUUAUAGUUCACCUUUGGGGGCUUGUUGGGACUGAAGCCUAGGUAUAGGUCUAGAAGCAAAAAUGGGUGGUGGCAGUGGGAUGUUCAGCCGUGUCUUAUAAGGCAUCUGCCUAAGGUGAUGCCCCAGGCAAUGCCCCAGACACCACCCCAGGAGACAACUCAAACAAGACACUUCAGGCACAGCUGGGGUAAUCUCAUCAGAUGGAGGUGGAAGGGAUAAUUGUUUUACUGGGAAGGGUGCCUUAGCAGGCAAAGUUAGAGAAUCUCUUCAGAUGGUAGUAAAAGAUCUGGUUCUGUUAGGAAGAGCGAUUCAACAGAAAUUGGAGGUUCAUUGUCCCCCGCUUUCUGACUGUCUGCCCAUAUGUCCUCAUCCCAAGUUUCAGGAUCCCAUUUCUUCCCAAUCAAUGCCCUCACUCUAACUUCAGACACCAUUUGAGGUCGGAUAUUCAACCGGCGCUUUAAUUCAGUCACUCUUAUGAUAAGAAUCUGAGUUUAUUUUUGGCAGCAUUAGCCUUGUUACUAUAAGAAAUAUGGUUUUCUUUCUGGGCACAGGUGGCAGCUUUCAGAUCUUGUAUAUGGUGCUUGAGCUUUGAGUCCAUUUCUUUCAUUCACCAGUGUGGCUAGCAAAAGCAGGACCAACCAAGCAGCUUCCUUAUUAUUCUUAUGCUGACAAAAUUAUAGAAAAGUAUCAAAUAUAUAAUCAGGCAGAGCCUUGUCUCUCACAAAUAUUUGAUCCAGUGGUAGUAGUAUUUUGCGUAUUUCUAUUGUCACCUCCACCAUGGAUUAGCAAUAGCCUGUUUACUCCUGGAGACAGUCAUCAGUGCCUUUAAGAUUAGCCAGACUUGAGAAUCAAUUCAGAAAACUCAUCCUUAAGAUUUGGUUCCUCUAGAACCAGUGUAGGUACCAAAUGUCUUAGCCUGGGAUCUCUAGAGGUGCAAAACUAGUGAAGAGAACAUAUAUAUAUAUACACACACACACACACAUAUAUAUGAGUGUGUGUGUAUAUAUAUGUGUGUGUGUGUGUGUGUGUAUGGAAACCCUAGUCGCAUAAUGGUUAAUAGCUAUAGCUGCUAACCAAAAGGUUAGCAGUUCGAAUCCACCAGGCGCUCCUUGGGAACUCUGUGGGGCAGUUCUACUCUGUCCUGUAAGGUCACUAUGAGUUGGAACUGACUUGACGGCAAUGGGUAUAUAUAUAUAUACAUACACACACACACGCACACAUACAUAUAUAUACGCAUACAUAUGUUAGUUGUGGCUGUUAGAUGCCAUCGAUCCUGUGUAAAACAGAAUGAAACACUGCCUGAUCCUGAACCAUCCUCACAAUCAUUGCUAUGUUUGAGCCCAUUCUUGCAGCCAUUGUGUCAGUUCAUGUUGUUGAGCACCUUCCUCUUUUUUUCUGACCCUCAGCUUCUCCAAGCAUGAUGAGCCUCUCCUGGGACAGGUCCCUCCUGAAAAUAUGUCCAAGGCACGUGAGACGAAGUCUCGCCAUCCUUGCUUCUAAGGUGCAUUCUUGGUGUACUUCUUCCCAGAUGGAUUUGUUUAUUCUUCUGGCAGUCCAUGGUAUAUUCAGUAUUCUUUGCCAACACCAUAUUUUAAAUGAAUCAGUUCUUUGGUUUUCCGUAUUCAUUGUCUAACUUGCUCAAGCAUGUGAGGUGAUAGAAAAUAUCAUGGCUUUGCUCAGGCACACCUUAGUCCUCAAAGUGACAUCUUUCUUUCUCAACACUUUAAGGAGGUCUUUUGCAAUAGAUUUGCCCAGUGAAAUACAUUGUUUGAAUUCUUGACUGCUGCUUCUGUGGGCAUUGAUUAUGGAUUCAAGUUAAAUGAAAUGCUUGAUGACUUCAGUGUUUUCUCUAUUUAUCAUGGUGUUGCUUACUGGUCCAGUUGUGAGUAUUUUUGUUUUCUUUAUGUUGAGGUGUAAUCCAUACUGAAGGGUGUAGUGGUUGCUCUUCAUCAGUAACUGCUUCAAGUCCUCUUUACUUUCAGCAAGCAAGGUCGUAUCAGCUGCAUAUCAUAGGUUGUUAGUGAAUCUUUCUCCAAAACUAAUGCCAUGUUCUUCUUACAGACCAGCUUCUCAGAUUAUUUGCUCAGCAUACAGAUUGAGUAAGUAUGGUGAAAGGAUACCACCAUGACACAUAACUUUCUGAUUUUAAACCACACAGUAUCCCCUUGCCCUACUCAAAUGACUGCCUCUUGGUCUAUGUACAUAUUCCGCAUGAAUACAGUUAAGUGUUCUGGAAUUCCCAUUCUUUGCUAAGCUAUCCAUAAUUUGUCAUGAGCCACACAGUUGAGUGUGCUUGUAUAGUAAACAAAAAUAGGUAAACAUCUUACUGAUAUUCUCUACUUUCAGCCAAGAUCCAUCAGACAUCAGAAAUGAUAUCCCAUGUUCCAUGUCUUCCUCUGAAUCCAGCUUGAAUUUUUGGUAGUUCCCUGUCUGUGCACUGCUGCAACUGUUUUUAAAUUAUAUUCAGCAAAAUUUUUCUUGCGUCUGAUGUUAAUGACAUUGCUUGAUAAUUUCCGCAUUGUGUUGGACCACCUCUCUUUGAAUGGGCACACAUAUAGAUCUCUUUCAGUCAUUUGGUCAGGUAGCUGUCUUCCAAAUAUAU
This is a long non-coding RNA of Loxodonta africana (African savanna elephant), 14299 nucleotides long. RefSeq lists it as uncharacterized. Lineage: Eukaryota; Metazoa; Chordata; Mammalia; Proboscidea; Elephantidae. The record is from RefSeq and is a predicted model, not a curated record. The transcript is spliced from 8 exons.